UUUUAUCACCGAGGAGGUGGAGCUGGCCUCUGUGGUCUUGGGGGUUCUGAAGUUUCCCCAAACCCACACUGCAGCUCACUUGGCUGAGGCCAAAAAUCUUCUCAUGGAAGAAUGGGGAAUUAAAGGGAAGGUGACAGGCCUGGUUACAGACUGUGCUCCCAACAUGGUUGCAUGUGCUAAUAUAUUACUGCUUCGGCA
Non-coding RNA from Oryzias latipes (Japanese medaka), 198 nucleotides. The record is from RefSeq and is a predicted model, not a curated record. Lineage: Eukaryota; Metazoa; Chordata; Actinopteri; Beloniformes; Adrianichthyidae.